UUUUUGGCUAAGGGUGUGCCUAGAUAUGUUGUCCAGGUGGAAGGGCCAGGAAUGGGAAUAUUCUUCCUGGUGGCCUAUCCUACUGUGGCUGAACUGGUACCAAGAUGCAAGACAAAGUCCUCUUUACCCUUUAUUCUCUUCUCCUUAAGAAGAAGGAAGGCGUCACUGUUGUUGCUGUGAGUUGCAGUACCUCCGACUGGGGGAGAGAUGAUGGAACUAAAGCCUAAAAAUAAGAACAAGCAGUUUUAGUGUGCUUUAGAUUCAGCUGGUUAUCAAGUGCCACUUUGCAGAUGGAGACCUUGAGGACUAACUCAACAAGCCAACAACCAAGGUCGAAGAUGGUCUUGAGGGCAAAAGUGAAAAGUAUAGCCACUGUCCAUCAUGCAUGCAGAUGGCAUUAACCAAAUAUAGUUUCCCAUGCAAUACUGUUGAUAGAGAUGGUUCAAGGAAUAGAAGAUCUCUUUUUGGAUCUUGACUCAGCUCAGGUGGUAUAAUUACUUCUAAAACAAAUUUACUGUCAUGUAAUAGAGAAACAGACAAAACUGCAAUAAAGAUAGAUCUAUGAACCCUUCAUAACUAUAGUUUUUCAGGGAGGACCAUUGGAAAGAUUUUUUUAAACAUCAAUGAAUGGGAGUCAGGAAAAGGCUAGGCAAGGAGACGGGGGGAGAAGAGAUGAACAGAACAUACUGGUAAAAGGAGCUGCAGAAUGAGAACUUCUGUUGCAAAUUUUCAGGAGUGCCUGUUUGAAUAAACACAGAAUGCCUAUAAUGUUUCUGGUUUUCCUAUUAUGGCGGGUGGUAUAGAAAGUGUUAAUUUGGUGUAGAUUAAAACUUGGGACACCAAAUAUCAUUGUUUCAUUUUUCUGUGAUGCCCCUUGCCCUAUAAAGAAAGAAAACAA
Molecule: long non-coding RNA, 898 nt
Organism: Cebus imitator (Panamanian white-faced capuchin)
Lineage: Eukaryota; Metazoa; Chordata; Mammalia; Primates; Cebidae
Exons: 3
Source: RefSeq, a predicted model, not a curated record